GUGGGGAAUAUUGGGCAAUGGGCGAAAGCCUGACCCAGCAACGCCGCGUGAGGGAAGAAGGCCUUCGGGUUGUAAACCUCUGUCCUUGGUGACGAAAAAAAUGACGGUAGCCAAGGAGGAAGCCCCGGCUAACUACGUGCCAGCAGCCGCGGUAAUACGUAGGGGGCGAGCGUUGUCCGGAAUUACUGGGCGUAAAGGGUGCGUAGGGGGCCUUUUAAGUUGGAUGUGAAAUACCCGGGCUUAACUUGGGGGGUGCAUCUAAUACUGGAGGGCUAGAGUGCAGGAGAGGGAAGCGGAAUUCCUAGUGUAGCGGUGAAAUGCGUAGAUAUUAGGAGGAACAACAGUGGCGAAGGCGGCUUUCUGGACUGUAACUGACACUGAGGCACGAAAGCGUGGGGAGCAAACAGGAUUAGAUACCCGGGUAGUCC
Molecule: ribosomal RNA, 428 nt
Filed under: uncultured bacterium
Lineage: Bacteria
Description: partial 16S ribosomal RNA
Rfam family: Bacterial small subunit ribosomal RNA
Source: RNAcentral